Molecule: long non-coding RNA, 712 nt
Organism: Rhipicephalus microplus (southern cattle tick)
Lineage: Eukaryota; Metazoa; Arthropoda; Arachnida; Ixodida; Ixodidae
Source: RefSeq, a predicted model, not a curated record
AGCAGUACCGCACAUCAGGAGGAUGAAAUGCUGACAGAACUCUGCAGUGAACCCUCCUCUCUGCCUUUAAUUUUGCCUGCACCUGAAUCUUCUUUCUGCUUGCCUAAAACAUAUCAGAUGCCCAAACAUGGCAAAACUGUCCAGUGCCAGACAAGUCCAUCAAAGGCAACCAGACCACGUGGAAUGCAGACUAGGCUUUCACUGUCCCGAAUGACCAAUCUCCUGAGGAAAGUGCAAAACUUUACCCGGGAGUGUCAAAGGCUUCAGAAAAAGCAGCAUCACCUACAGGAAGAGCUCUCCACUCUGAGGCAGGAGGCAAAAAAGGCGUCCUUGUUGAUGAAGAGAACAAACGUCGAAAUCCUCCAGCAAAAGGUGGAGGAGAGCAACGAAAAAGCUCUGUUCCUUCAAGAGCAGCUUGCUUUUCUGGGCAAAAAGAAAGGGCUAUGGCGUGAGCAGACAGUGCGCAAAUGCGUUCUUUUGCACACUAAAUCACCAGCCGGGUACCGCCUUCUUCGGGAGAUUGGUGUCUUGACCUAGCCGAGUCGCUGUACUCUCAAGCGAUACAUUGGCGCAUGCACUGGAGAGGUGGUGUCCUCUCUCAUCAAGCAGCGCCUUCAUGCAGAAGUGAAACUGCACUCUAAGCACACUGUGGGUCCCUGGUGAUGGACGAAAUGUCACUAAAGCAAUCUGCACUGUACCAUAAACAGUCCGA